RNAcentral lists this long non-coding RNA (703 nucleotides) under Citrus maxima (pomelo). RNAcentral describes it as "long non-coding RNA (CMAX_LNC003531)". The record is from RNAcentral. Lineage: Eukaryota; Viridiplantae; Streptophyta; Magnoliopsida; Sapindales; Rutaceae.
UUUGGGGUGGAGAUCCAACCAGCAACAUAACUAAACAAUACACUCAAUUCAAGUAAGAUCUACUUCACACCUACAAAUAAACAUUUAUACGAACAUGUGUUCCUUAUAAUGACUUAAACUUCUCUCUUUUGUGAUCGAAAAAGAGUCUUUUAAACCCUCCACCCUUCCAAUGACAACGUGGGGGCAAGUAUAGCCCAACUUCCCCAUUUGCUCUGCUCUAUCAUUCAAAUAAUUUGGGAGGCUUGGAUUGGAGCCUCAACAACCAAGACAAGCGCAUGUGGCCUCAAAAGUCAAAAAAGAAAAUAAAAGAUUUAUAUCCCAUACCCAGAGUGUCGGUGCCUUUUGUUUUCUAUUGAGACUAAGCAAGAAAAGAUACAACAUGACACAGCUUUUCACAACAAUUACUUUCUUAAAAGUAGUGUUGGUUGAUAUAAUGGAGUCUUGACAUGAUUGUUCAACCAAAGCUCUUGAACUUUCAAUGCAGGCGUGUGUACGUACAUGUGCAUGAGUCCCAAAACAAGAGAGGCAGCAAGCAAAAGCUGAAGAGUAAUGAAAAGCACUUCCGGCCGGGUGUUGCCUGUUGCCUGUUGCCUGUUGCCUGUUGCCUGUUGCAUGAUAAGGAUGGGAAUGUGUCAAAUGAGUUUUCAACUAUUCGGAAAAGGAAUUGUUUGGAAUUUGGAUGCGGACUUGACGACACACCGAG